RNAcentral lists this ribosomal RNA (761 nucleotides) under uncultured bacterium. RNAcentral's name for it is "bacterial SSU rRNA". It matches the Rfam family "Bacterial small subunit ribosomal RNA", at positions 66 to 859 of the family's 1533-position model. The record is from RNAcentral.
ACGAGAAAGUGGAGCAAUCCAUGAGUAAAGUGGCGUACGGGUGAGUAACACGUGGGUAAUCUACCUCUUAGUGGGGAAUAACCUGGGGAAACCCGGGCUAAUACCGCAUAAGCUCGAGAGAGGAAAGCAGCAAUGCGCUGAGAGAGGAGCCCGCGGCCGAUUAGCUAGUUGGGAGGGUAAAAGCCUACCAAGGCAAAGAUCGGUAGCCGGCCUGAGAGGGCACACGGCCACACUGGCACUGAAACACGGGCCAGACUCCUACGGGAGGCAGCAGUGGGGAAUCUUGCACAAUGGGGGAAACCCUGAUGCAGCGACGCCGCGUGAGCGAUGAAGCCCUUCGGGGUGUAAAGCUCUUUCGGCAGGGAAGAUGAUGACGGUACCUGCAGAAGCAGCUGCGGCUAACUACGUGCCAGCAGCCGCGGUAAUACGUAGGCAGCGAGCGUUGUUCGGAGUUACUGGGCGUAAAGGGUGUGUAGGCGGUUCUUUAAGUUUGGUGUGAAAUCUCCCGGCUCAACCGGGAGGGUGCGCCGAAUACUGAGGGACUCGAGUGCGGGAGAGGAAAGUGGAAUUCCUGGUGUAGCGGUGAAAUGCGUAGAUAUCAGGAGGAACACCGGUGGGUGUAGACGGCUUUCUGGACCGUAACUGACGCUGAGACACGAAAGCGUGGGUAGCAAACAGGAUUAGAUACCCUGGUAGUCCACGCCCUAACGAUGCAUAUUUUGGUGUGGGUCAUUCAGUUGAUCCGUGCCGGAGCUAACGCG